RNAcentral lists this transfer RNA (68 nucleotides) under Cnephaeus serotinus (Common serotine). Its description in RNAcentral is "tRNA-Val". It matches the Rfam family "tRNA". Rfam says of the family: Transfer RNA (tRNA) molecules are approximately 80 nucleotides in length. Their secondary structure includes four short double-helical elements and three loops (D, anti-codon, and T loops). The record is from RNAcentral. Lineage: Eukaryota; Metazoa; Chordata; Mammalia; Chiroptera; Vespertilionidae.
CAAAGUGUAGCUUAAGUAAAAGCAUCUAGUUUACACCUAGAAGAUAUCACAUAAAAUGAUCACUUUGA